This is a long non-coding RNA of Lolium perenne, 2283 nucleotides long. RefSeq lists it as uncharacterized. NCBI's taxonomy places the organism in Eukaryota, Viridiplantae, Streptophyta, Magnoliopsida, Poales, Poaceae. The record is from RefSeq and is a predicted model, not a curated record.
UUCACGGCAGUCCCCAGGUCGAAGAAUCCCGCUGCCGCGUUCCACCCGCCUUCCGCCGCCUUCAUUGUCAUCUACCCACAGGCCUCCUCCGCGCCGCCGCAUGUGCCUCGUCCGCGGAGGCGGAGACUUCCCUUGUGCCACCACCUCUGGGGAGGGAGGACUGGGGGACCAAACUCGCGCUGGAUGUGCCUCACGGGUGAGCAGCAGCCAGGUUGAUUCUGCCCAAAUUUCUCGUCAGCGCCAGGUUUCUAGACAAGUAAAUCCUCACGCUGCACAAGGCACUCAUGUUCAACAACCAGAUAUGCUUAUGCACACAACCUGUUUGAUGAAAUGACUGAAGAAACAAAAAAAAAAUUACAGACCAUUCUUAUGUUCGUUGGAGACGGAAAAGUGGUAGAAUUGGGAAGGAGAUGAUUGAUUGGCUAGAAGUGACGACUGAGAAGAAGUGGUGGUCUAUCACCUUCAUAGUCCAAAUUUUCUCUGCUCCAAGGCUACGUCUGUGAGGGAGUCGAUAGAGGGGUUCAUCGGCCAUGGCAACGAUGAGCUCUGGAGUGGGUUGAUUUUGCUUAUGGGUCUGUGUUCUUUGCGCACGUCAGCCUCUAGGACGGGCCGCCAUGAGAACAUCCUGCCAGACCUCGCAAUGGAGUAAUCCUUACAUUUUCCUCACAAUAAUUUCCUUUUUUUGUCUCAAACUCUCAAUGCGCUAGGUUGUCUACGCUUCUACGGGGCAUGCAAGAAUGAGUGCCGGAGGCGGCUGUUGCGGUCCUACAUAGCGCACAGGUAUCGGAGAGUAUGAAUGUGUACCUUUGAAUUGGAGAUGGCAAGCACGGUUGUAUGAAUUUUCUUAGCAUGCGAUGCUGUCUUUGGUACAAGUCUGAUGAUAUUUAUUUUGUAAAUGACAAACUCAGAUUAUGCAAGUUGAUGAUAUGAGAUAGAUGAUGUUAGUGGUUACCUUAACACUGCAGAGUUAUCCCUGGUUCAGCAGAUGAAUACUCCAUGCAACUGAUAUCUGGAGAUUUUCAGUAAUAUCAUUUCAGAGAUUGGUAGAUUGUUCUUUUAUACAUUGAGGCAUUAUGUUUCCCAUAACAAGUGUGAUCCAACUACAGAUUUAAGUCUCGGUGAAUGUAUAUAUUGUAUGGUUAAUCUGCGAUUGUUCGUUUUAAAUCAUAAUUUGCAGUCUGGUUUCUAUUGUCAGCUGACUAGGUAGAAUAUCGUAAGAAAUUUCACAAUAUCAGGGAAUUGCUAAUGACAAGGAUAAGCUUGGAUUACACCUGCAUGUUAUAGGUAAUUAUGUCAUGUGUUUUUUGUUUUCAGUUCCUCUUCCAUGUGCAUUACCUGAGAAAUUAAAAUCCGCCCAACCUCCACUAUUAGUGUAUUGGAGAGCUUUGUUGUUGCCUAAAUUUUGCCUGCAGUACAUACCAUUCGGUUUUGACUAACAUUUUAAAUCAUUAUUUGAAUUCUACCAGCUUUCUAUGCAUGAAGAUAAUAACGGAUGUUGAAGAAAACUUGGCUCUUAGAUUACGUGGAAGAGUACCACCAGAGAAAUAGCACUCCCUUUGGUUAUUCUCGAUUACUACUGCAUUUCUUAGACUAGCGAUCUCACCAACUGAUUUCGCUUAUUUGGACACAUCUUCGUGUUCUUUUUAGCUUUCGUAGUGAGAGCGCAGAGACUCGUGGCAGGUGGUGAUGGCACGUGCAUUGCAGUGGAGAGUAGAAGAGAUGAGGGGAGCGUAGUAGACUUGUGGUGGCAGACAAGUACACAAGACACAGAAGGAGAUUGAGGAGAAAAUCGGUGCUACUGGUGACAUAUCUCUUCUACUCAACUGUUCCAUGUGCAUAAUUUGAGGCUUGAUUAUGUAUAUAUUCAUUAAGUUAGUCAUUUCAACUUCAACUUUGAUAGUAUUGGAUAUGCAGUGAACACAAAGUAUCUCACCUGAUUUUAUCUGUGCCAUUGAGGUUUGGAAAGUGCUUACUGAUAUCAUCUACUGUGCAUGAUUAAUUGUCGUAGGUUUUUUCUGUUACCUUUCAACGGUUAGUCCAGGAAGUUGUUUAUUUUUCGAUGCCCUGAGAUUUUAUUUGUUCAUUUACCAUGAAUCUUAUCUCUUGCAAGCAUAAGAGAUAGUGCUAACAAUUUACACAAGAUACAUAAACAAAGUGUUAUGUGAAAUGACAGUAAAUGUUUGAUGUUUUUAUGCCACUUGUGACCUCCUGUUUAGCUUAAUGGAUAUGGUAACAAAUUGUGGAGUAUGCCACCCUCUGUUCUCCAAAGUUUUUACUCAAAUC